UCUAAGAGCUUCCUCCCUGGUCAUUUCUCUGGCUUCAUAAACAUCACUCAGACAGCACUCAGUGUGGUUCUUCGUCCAUCUUCGCUCCCUCCCACAUUCUUCCCCAUACUUACGCUGCAUGCCUCUCCCUCAGUGUUCCUCUCCCUCCCUCACUUCUUUCUUUUUCACCCCAUCUCUGUGUUCGUUGCUGACAGCUCUGCUCCUCAGGAGCACUGAGGGGAGCAGAGAAAACAAAGAUUUGGUUCAGUGGCUCUGAUCUUGAUUUUCUGCAGAUUGGAUGGAAGAUUAGGAGGAGCUUUUAUUCAUACACCACACAAUCACUUCCCCUGCAACUGAAAACCAUGACUACAGACCACAGGGGUUGCACCUAUCAGCACAAAUGUGCCAUCUGUGACAAGGUGAUGGCCGAAGGCUUGAGUGGGCACAGCAAGCACAAAACGUUUCCGGCAAAAAUAGUGAGAGUGAGAGGGAAGAAAAGACAAGGAGAGAUACCAGGCACACACUCAGUCUCUCCUCUUUCAUCUCUCUGGCUUUAUUUCUGCUUUGAUUUU
Siniperca chuatsi (mandarin fish) is the source of this 551-nucleotide long non-coding RNA. RefSeq lists it as uncharacterized. The record is from RefSeq and is a predicted model, not a curated record. NCBI's taxonomy places the organism in Eukaryota, Metazoa, Chordata, Actinopteri, Centrarchiformes, Sinipercidae. The transcript has 3 exons.